UAAGACGCUGGGGGCGUGCCUAGUACAUGCAUGUCGAGCGGACCGACGGGAGCUUGCUCCCUUAGGUCAGCGGCGGACGGGUGAGUAACACGUGGGUAACCUGCCUGUAAGACUGGGAUAACUCCGGGAAACCGGGGCUAAUACCGGAUGCUUGAUUGAACCGCAUGGUUCAAUCAUAAAAGGUGGCUUUUAGCUACCACUUACAGAUGGACCCGCGGCGCAUUAGCUAGUUGGUGAGGUAACGGCUCACCAAGGCGACGAUGCGUAGCCGACCUGAGAGGGUGAUCGGCCACACUGGGACUGAGACACGGCCCAGACUCCUACGGGAGGCAGCAGUAGGGAAUCUUCCGCAAUGGACGAAAGUCUGACGGAGCAACGCCGCGUGAGUGAUGAAGGUUUUCGGAUCGUAAAACUCUGUUGUUAGGGAAGAACAAGUACCGUUCGAAUAGGGCGGUACCUUGACGGUACCUAACCAGAAAGCCACGGCUAACUACGUGCCAGCAGCCGCGGUAAUACGUAGGUGGCAAGCGUUGUCCGGAAUUAUGGGGCGUAAGCGCGCGCAGGCGGUUUCUUAAUCUGAUGUGAACCCCCCGGCUCACCGGGGAGGGUCUUUGGAAAUGGGACCUGUUGCC
This 632-nucleotide ribosomal RNA is filed under the name Bacillus licheniformis. RNAcentral describes it as "bacterial SSU rRNA". It matches the Rfam family "Bacterial small subunit ribosomal RNA", at positions 29 to 649 of the family's 1533-position model. Lineage: Bacteria; Bacillati; Bacillota; Bacilli; Caryophanales; Bacillaceae. The record is from RNAcentral.